Molecule: ribosomal RNA, 442 nt
Filed under: uncultured soil bacterium
Lineage: Bacteria
Description: bacterial SSU rRNA
Rfam family: Bacterial small subunit ribosomal RNA
Source: RNAcentral
AGAACGAACGCUGGCGGCAUGCCUAACACAUGCAAGUCGAACGAGACCUUCGGGUCUAGUGGCGCACGGGUGCGUAACACGUGGGAAUCUGCCCUUGGGUUCGGAAUAACAGUUGGAAACGACUGCUAAUACCGGAUGAUGACGUAAGUCCAAAGAUUUAUCGCCCAAGGAUGAGCCCGCGUCGGAUUAGCUAGUUGGUGGGGUAAAGGCCUACCAAGGCGACGAUCCGUAGCUGGUCUGAGAGGAUGAUCAGCCGCACUGGGACUGAGACACGGCCCAGACUCCUACGGGAGGCAGCAGUGGGGAAUAUUGGACAAUGGGCGAAAGCCUGAUCCAGCAAUGCCGCGUGAGUGAUGAAGGCCUUAGGUUGUAAAGCUCUUUACCCGGGAUGAUAAUGACAGUACCGGAGAAUAAGCCCGGCUAACUCCGUGCCAGCAGCCGC